UGGCCGAGGAAGCCAUCACAGUGGGGGCCAUGGUGUUGGAGGAGAGAAGGUGGCAGGCUAAGCUUGGCCCCCAUUGCUGGGUCACCACGGUAUAUAUAGCCAUAUAUGGCCAGCUCCUAUCUUUAAUCAAGAUGUGGAAGGGGUGGCUGGCGUUCGUUGGUUGCUUGGUUUCCUUAUCUCUCCGGAUUAGUGUAAGAGGCAUGGCCGUUGGAUGAGUUGUGUGUGCCCAAAAUUUCAGUCGUCCAUGUCAUUGUGUGAUUGCCACAAUCCUUUUUCCAGCCUUGCAUUACUGUAUUAUUCUUUUCGUUUCAUCUUGCUAAAGGUAACGCUUGAAAGGUGCACGAAGAACUCCCUUUGUUGAUUUGCGAUUUAAGUUCAGUGGCACAGGCAUAACGAAUGUUAUAGUACAUCCUUUAUCCACUUUUAUAAUACAAAACUUGUCAACCAGUUAUGCUUGCUUCUAAUCUUUGGUACUUCAUUUUAUAACAUUUUAUACAGGUAACUAACGUAUACUUGCUGCAUGUAUGAUGUGUGUCAUCAUGACCUUUAUGUACUUUAUUCACAAUUAUUCAUUGGAACACAAAAGUGUUGUACUAUUUUCUACACCUAAUCAUUUACAUGCCUUGGAGGAUUUUUAGUAUAGGAAAUGCUAUUUAACUGGCUGUCCAGGCAAGGUAUAACUUUGUUUUAAUCUAUGAGCUAAAGUUUUAGAUCCCUCUGUUAUCCAUUUGCUCAGUUCAUGCCGUCCCCAGUGAACUCAUAAAUUACAUAUGGUGAGUGAAUAUAGACCACAAAAAAUGGUAGAUGUAUGUUCAUUCAUUUCAUGAUGAUGAAGCAACCUGCAAAAUGAUGGAAUCGACCAUGACUACUCAGUGAUAUGGCAAUCAUGUAGGACGAUCAUCGUGAUCAUCCUCCCGAGUCGUCCCCGUGCGGCGGCUGGGAGUACCCCAGAUCCCGUCGCCCCCGACUCCCCCUCUCGUCCCCUCCUCCCUCACCGCCGCCCGAGGGCGCCGCCGGGCAAAGCCUUGCCGUCGCCGGCGGCGGCAGGGACUAGGUGCCCUCCCGCUCGUGAGGAGCUGGCGCGGACCAGCGCCCCCGGGCUGGAGCGUGGCGUGCAUCUGGAUGUCAUGACGGGGGCUGGCGGCGCUCCUGCGAUCCCAUACCUCAUGGCAGGCGGCUUCAAGAUCUGGGGCGACACGGUUGCCAGGGUCGGCGGCGGUGGCGUGGCCGGAUCUAGGACCAGGUGUGAGCUUGGUCUCCGGGUCACGAUCGGCGCGAUGGCAAGUGCGACAUGUCGGCAGCUGGACGGAUCUGCGGGAUUCCAUCCUUGUCUAGUCCUUGACAACUCGAGCAACUCCGAGGGAAACCCUAGAUCCAUGGGAUCAAGCGAUGGCAGUGCUUUUGCGUCGUAGUCCCUCUUCGGGACAUCAUUUUAGAGUUUGCUAUGGUUGAAGGGACCAGCGAGGCAUGCGGCGUACGCCCGGUGUCGCAACUACCGAUGAAAAUUACGCCAACUACGGUCAUGGCGGACGAUGGCGGCGUCUUUGAUGUCGUUUCCUUGUCGAGACAUCGUCAUUGCAGUUGGCAUCAUCAUGCUCGGGAUGCUCCGGGGGAAACCCUAGAUCUGGGUCUCCCGGAUCGGACGAUAAUAGCGUUCUUAGUAUCGCUUUCCCUCAUCGGGGCAUCGUUUUGGAGCAAGUGAUGGCUGGAGGUGAUAAGAGGAGGAGCGGUGCUUCAUCAUACACAUUGGUGGUGUCGGAUCUCGAUGGCAUGGCACCCUGGAAAUUAGGCGUUUGAUGUGCGAUGAUGGACUCGCGUAGGAGGUCGACGCUCUCUGGCGUCGUGGUGGCAUCGGCGGCAGCUAGACCGGGCAAGGUACAUGCAGUAGUACAACUCUGAAGAUGGAUUGGUGGCAGGUGGCUGCGGCGGCCUCAUACCCGGCAGGCGUCCUGGUUGAGGAGCACGCUGGACUGGUGGGUGCCCAUGCCCGGCAGGAGUCCUGGUUGGGACCUCAGGUCUUAGAUGUUAGGUUUGGCUGCGAUGUCUCUUUGGUAUUAGGCCCAGACUAUCAGCGCCCCUUCAUCAACUGGAUUGGAUUAGCGACAGAUGUUGCUUAGACGGUGGCUUUAGUCUUAUUGUUGUAUGGUUUUGUAAGGUCUUGUGCUAAUAAUUAAUAAAAUGAUUGUAUGCAUCGCCCAGAUGCAGAGGCCGGGGGUCCUUCUCCUUUUCUAAAAAUCUAGUCAUUUAAGGUAGAUGUCGUGAUCUUCUUGUGUGACUGUCUCAUAGAUUUGAGCUGCAAAUCGAAUCUUAUAUUCUUCCAUUUUUUUUGAAUUUCCUGCAUGUAGUUAAUUAUUUUUUAUGAAUCCUUAAUGAUAAUUAACAUGGCCCAGAUAUUCACAAAAUAUCCAUAACUAUCAUGAACGAAUCAAUAAAUUACUAUUGCAGAAUGAAGAAUGAACCUUCCAUAGACCCCUCCACUUGGGCCCGUCGGUAGAGAGAUUCAUCACUCAUGGGCCACAAAAUGCGAGCCAAGUAGGACGACCUUCACUAAUGGGCCCUUAAGUUGGGCAUCAAUGGAGGGGCACCCAUGGGGCCCAAAGAUCCAACUGAAUGGACAGUCCAUCUCUACUGACGGUCAUACCGGAAUUUCCUAACGGACGCACAUUGUGUCAAGUUGCCACUGUUUCGCACAGAUGCCAGCGACUGGCGACCGAGAUGGGCCGGCCCAAUUACGAGCCCACAGAUGCGCUACAGUGUCCGGUUUUGGGAAACUUCUAGGAGGUUCCUGAGCGGUUUUGGGAACCUUCUAGAAGGUUCCUGAACCAGUUUUCCCUGGUUUAUUCUGUUUCUUUUUAUUUUUCUUUCAAUAUUGUUUAUUCUUUUUCAUUCUUUAUUUUUAUUUUUUCGUUUUGCCGUUUCUAUAUUCCAUUUUUUAUUUCUUUAAUUCCUUUUCCUUCUCUUUUUUCCUUCAGAAUUAAAAAAUAAUAAAAAUGUUCAGAAGUUAAGAAAAUUUUAUUGUUUAAAAAUUUUGUUCAUAAAUUGAAAAAUGUUCUUCUUUUCAAAAAACCUUCGCAUUUUUAAAAAAUGUUUGGCAUUUAAAAAAUGUUCCGCUUUCAAAAUAUUGUUCACAAAUUACAAAUAAUGUUCACUCUUUCCAAAUUUUGUUCAGAGUUUGGACAUGUUUGCAGACGUAAAAAUGUCCACCUUUUCCAGAAAUGUUCAUAUCUUUUUUUUCAAAAUUUGUUCACAAAUUCAAAAAUUCCUGUUUUUAUAAUUUGUUCACACAUCCAAAAAUUGUUCACACCUUUUAAAAAUUCUCAAAAUUUGUUCACAAAUUCAAAAAGCUUUCCAUUUUUAUAAUUGUUCACAGAUUAAAAAAUUGUUCAAAUCUUUAAAACUUGUUCGUGAUUCUAAAAAAAUGUUCAUAUCUUAAAAGAAAUCACAAAUUCGAACAAAUUCCUGUUCUCAAAAUUAGUUCACAAAUUAAAAAUGUUAUUUUUUGAAAAUUAUUCACAAAUUCAAAAAAAGUUCGCAUUUUGUCCAAACUUGUUCGUGAUUUGUCAAAAAAUGUUCGGAAUUUAAAAAAAUGUACCCGUUCUUUCAAGAUUUGUUCACAAAUUAAAAAAUUAUUUCCCUGUUUAAAUUUGGUUCACAAUUCAAAAAAUCAUGUUUUUUAAACUUCAAUUUUUUGCACGUGUCUAACAAAAUAGGUCAGAGUUUUGAAAAUUGUUCCUUUUUAAAAAAUUGUCCAGAACUGCAAAAUUGUUCCUGUUUUUAAAAUUCGAAUAAUUGCGACCAUUUGUUGAAACUCGUGUGCAUUUUUGCCAAAAACAUUUGGACUUUUAAAAAUAUAUUCAGAAUUAACAAGAAAAGAUUUAAAAAGGAAAAAUAAUGUGACCUGCCGUUGUGACCAGUACUAGUCGUGGUGGCUAGCUAGCUUCGUAUAAAAAAGCACGAUCGCGAGCUCGAGUCCUAGCUCUCGCUUCGAGUUUUUCGUUGCCUUUUUAACACUGCACGCUGCCUGCGUGGGCCGGCCCAGUCGGGCGCCUAACCUGUGCGAUCGCUCGACAUUCUGCCGCAGAAUGCGGCAGAUAGGAAGUCCCGGUCAUACCACACCACCCGUCAAUGUUGGGCGCCCCGUUAGUGCUGAAUUAAGGUAUUUCUAUCUGCUAGAGACGAAGUGGCCUUAUAUGGGCUUUCUCUUUUCUCCUAAACAAAACCAAGCCACCUCCCCCAAUCCAUUCCUCCCCAACGUCAUCACCACCCAAUGUUUUUGUCUCCUUACAUGUGUGCCCCCUCCUUCUUCCACAUUGAUCUGGUCCAACGCUACCGUCUCAUCCCCGCGAUCAUCGUCACUACUCUUCGAUUACUCGUGAUGGCGCGGGUUGUGGCUUCCCACUUGCUCUCUCGUAAGAGUGGUUGGGUAAACCCCAAGUGUAAGGAUGAAGUAACCUAGUAAUAAGCAUUUUCCCCGAUAGGUUUAUCAAACCAGUAGGAAUUUCUUCUACAACCCAAAUCCUCGGUACCUGCACACCAAACACAAAAUAAUCUUGCCCCAAACGUUUCAAGAAGGUUGUCAAGCUUCUUGUCCUGCUAGUUACAAGGAUUAGUUGUUAGUUGAAAGCAAAUAUCAGUUGCUAAGUAGCCUUAGUGUGGUUUGUACCUUCAGAUCUGCCAUGACACUGUCAACACUAUACUCGCCAUGCUUAGGGUUCAUCCUUUUUAUAUACACCAAGAUCAACCUAGGUGCUUCGCGUCGUACUAGCACUAAUCCAACCAUCAAUAUAAAUGAAAUGCCACCAUAAUUUCAAAGCUUAGUUGUUCAAAUACGAAUAUGAUGUGGUACUAAUAUUAGUUUAAAAUAGACACAUGUAGUUGGUCAGCCAAUGUUCCUUGUUGAGUUUCAAAAUACAUGUACACCACUUAUAGAGAGGCAUGAGUGAAUACUAUUUAUUUCUGCGAUCUCGUCCAUCAUGGAUGGGCAACGAACAUUGCAUUGUAUAGAAAGAAGGGUUAUAUAUAACCACCUUUUACAUAGAUGACGCUUUGCCUACGUGCUUUGUGUUGAAGUAGCAACACUCCACCUUUCAAGCUAAACAACAUGACACUCAUAAUUUCAAAGCUUAUUUUGUCAAAUACGAAUUUGAUAUGAUACUGAUAUUAGUUAAAAUGACACACAUUAAUUGUCAGCUAAUGUUCCUACUUCAGUUUUGAAAUGCAUAUCUGCCCCUUAUAGAGAGACAAGAGAGGUUUCUAUCUCUCUAUCCGCUCUUGUCAUCAUGGUUGGGGGGUGAACUUUGUAUAUCGUAUAGUUUGAAGCUGUCAUCUACCAACAAUCAUCACUUCUGGAGAUCUCAACUAGGAGCCUUUUUUGAGUAGUAGGGCCAUAUUAUAUUAAUACACACACCAAAUUACAACUCACAUAGCAUCUCUCGGCAGACUUCCAGAGAUAGUACGCAGGGGUUUAUAAGGAGUCACUAUUGGGGUAGAAUCGGCAAUGCAUUUGUUACACCCCGAUUCAGAGAACCGGAGGUCCCCGUGUUCCAGCCCAGAUAUCCAUUCGUCUGGAACACGACUAUAGCUUGGUACAGAUAGACCAAAAUAAAUAAGUACUUAUGUACAUUAAGGAGACAUGUCUAAGUGUGAGAAGCUCGAGGGCUUUAUUCUACGAGUGGCUUAAGGAAGUACUAAAGACGAAAAUAAUACUAAUGACACAACAGAAGACGGGGUACCAGUGGGGCUCCAAUCUAAAGAGACACUGCUGGUACACGAACUCUUAGGGGAACUCUUCUAUCGGCUCUCUAGUAUCUAGCAUGAUAAGUCAGGUGAGUACUUAAUUUGAAUGUACUCGCAAGCUCACAAACAAUCCAAAGCAAGCAAGAACGGAGCAAAUAAACAUAGCAACGAAGUAAGGACUAGUAAAGCUACUACUAUCAAGACUACUCCAUAGACUUCUUGUCUGCUCGUUUAACAUCUACUGGACUUCUUCUUGAAAUGAGUCCUGCUCAAACGACUCAACAAUAUAAGUUACCUGUUACCACAGUUACUAGAGUUGAAAGUAAAGGAAUAUGGGUACUUGGUCAAAUAGUGUGACCUAACACAAAUGGUGUCCCAUUGUCGGGGACUCGGCUAUUUGAAUAGUUUCAACACACACUCUGUAGAGGUCACACACUUUAAUUUACCCACACCAUAGAUUCUUUGUCUAAUGAAUCUCAUUCAUAGCAUGGCACUCUAACUAUUCCUCCGACCUCCCGCAGGCUAGCCCUGGGAGAGAGGAUCUGGGUCCUUGCCACUCUGUGUGGCACCACUUGUAUUCGCUUAGGAAUAUUUUCUAUUGAGCUCAUCCACAGACCCAGGCUCUCUUGACUGAAUGGCAACUUCCAAGCCAGAGGAAGUCUACACAUUCCAGCUUCCCUCUUCAGAGACACACAAAAGAUACAUACCUAGAAACGGAAUAAGGCCCUCCCAUUCGGCUAGAUGUGGCUAUACUGAGGUUGUUCCGCUUUGUGGCAUUUGGAUUGGCUAGCUAUUUAAAGUUGGGUUAAGAAGGAAAGUAAAACCGUAACUUUGUACUAGCUAUUCAAAUCCACAACUUGUUAUCCUACUAGGGUGAAGUAUUCACGAGGAUUCAUCAUCCUAAGUAGAGGCUUUCCCCGAGAUCCUUUGUGAACAUUGAUACCUAUUUUGCUUAUGAUUCAUGUUGGCAAAAUAAUUACCGGUUACGAGUCAUAGUUAAACUUCUAUUCCACUAGGACCAAAUAAAGGUAUCCUUGCUAGUGACUCACUAUGCUAUUUCAACCACAACAAACUUGACAUAAGCAAAGGGAAGCAAUAAAGAACACUGAAAGAAAAGUAAUGCGGGAAAAGAAAUGCAAGUUGAAUCCAUGGCCUUGCAAUGCAAGUUGAACCUAUAGUGUUAUAGCCAUGGCUCACGCUCAUGUAUUGCAUGGGGCUGAAAAUCUUGAAGCGCGUUAGAAGUGUUAAGCUUCAUGCACUAGCCAACGCAGCCAAAAGUCUGAACUGAUGGAAAGGGCUAGUACAAUCCACAUAUACUAUAACACCCUCUCUCACGUGGGACGGGGAAGACAAGUCAACACAUGCAACCGGAAGAGAGCGACGGCACGCGAAACUCAGGUAUGACUCAAGAGGCCUAUACGUGGACACAAAGGAGGGCUGUCAGCAAUUUUUAAAUAAGUUGCACAAACCAGGACUUGAACUCAAGACCUUAACUCCAAUACCAUGUUAAGCUUCAUUGACUCACUGAAAAACCAGCGGCAGUCACCACAGAGGCAAAACGCUCAAACAAGGCGCGGGGGGCUUGCUUAAGGCCAUAGAGAGAGCGACGAAGACGAGAUACCAUGCCAUCAGGAACAGAAUACCCAGGUGGUGGCUGCAUGUAUACCUCCAUUUGCCUGGUUUGACACCGGGGUGCUCAUGAUUUAUAUAUAUGCAAUGAAGGCGGAGUCAUGCCAUGCUAACAUGAUAAAAUGAGUGGGGAUAACAUUCGUUAAUGAUCGUAUAUUUUGAAAAAGUAAUGAUUAUGUUUCUUAUAUUCAUGGAAAUUAUUAUGUUGAUAUUGUUACUUCAUUGUUUCUCAAUAACUAUAUCAUAAAGAUAUUACAUGAUACAUAUGUUUGUUGGGGAACGUAGUAAUUUCAAAAAAAUUCCUACGCACACGCAAGAUCAUAGUGAUGCAUAGCAACAAAAGGGGAGAGUGUUGUCUAUGUACCCUCGUAGACCGAAAGCGGAAACGUUAGAACAACGCGGUUGAUGUAGUCGUACGUCUUCACGGCCCGACCAAUCAAGCACCGAAACUACGACACCUCCGAGUUCUAGCACACGUUCAGCUCGAUGACGUCCUUCGAACUCCGAUCCAGCCGAGUGUCGAGGGAGAGUUCCGUCAGCACUACGGCAUGGUGACGAUCUUGAUUUUCUACCGUUGCAAGGCUUCUCCUAAGCACCGCUACAAUAUUAUCAAGGAGGACUAUGGUGGAGGGGGGCACCGCACACGGCUAAGAGAUCAAGAGAUCAAUUGUUGUGUCUAGAGGUGCCCCCCUGCACCCGUAUAUAAAGGAUCAAGGGGAAGGGGGCGGCCGGCCAGGAGGAGGUGCGCCAAGGGGGGAGUCCUACUCCCACCGGGAGUAGGACUCCUCCUUCCCUUGUUGGAGUAGGAGAGAAGGAAAGAGGGGGAGAGGAGGAAGGAAAAGAGGGCUGCACCCCUUGUCCAAUUCGGACCAGAGUGGGGCUGUGCGCCUCCUUCCUUUCGGCCUCUCUCCUCUAUUCCCGUAUGGCCCAAUAAGGCCCAUAUACUCCCCGGCGAAUUCCCGUAACUCUCCGGUACUGUGAAAAAUACCCGAAUCACUCGGAACCUUUCCGAAGUCCGAAUAUGGUCGUACAAUAUAUCGAUCUUUACGUCUCAACCAUUUCGAGACUCCUCGUCAUGUCCCCGAUCUCAUCCGGGACUCCGAACUCCUUUGGUACAUCAAAACUCAUAAACUCAUUAUAUAACUGUCAUCGAAACUUUAAGCGUGCGGACCCUAUGGGUUCGAGAACUAUGUAGACAUGACCGAGACACGUUUCCGGUCAAUAAACAAUAGCGGAACCUAGAUGCUCAUAUUGGCUCCUACAUAUUCUACGAAGAUCUUUUAUUGGUCAAACCACAUAACAACAUACGUUGUUCCCUUUAUCAUCGGUAUGUUACUUUCCCGAGAUUUGAUCGUCGGUAUCCAAUACCUAGUUCAAUCUCGUUACCGGCAAGUCUCUUUACUCGUUCCGUAAUGCAUCAUUCCGUAACUAACUCAUUAGCUACAUUGCUUGCAAGGCUUAUAGUAAUGUGCAUUACUAAGAGGGCCCAGAGAUACCUCUUCGACAAUCGGAGUGACAAAACCUAAUCUCGAAAUACGCCAACUCAACAUGUACCUUUGGAGAUAGCUGUAGAGCUCCUUUAUAAUCACCCAGUUACGUUGUGACGUUUGGUAGCACACAAAGUGUUCCUCCGAUAAACGGGAGUUGCAUAAUCUCAUAGUUAUAGGAACAUGUAUAAGUCAUGAAGAAAGCAGUAGCAACAUACUAAAUGAUCAAGUGCUAAGCUAACGGAAUGGGUCAUGUUAAUCACAUCAUUAUCCUAAUUAUGUGAUCCCGUUAAUCAAAUGACAACUCAUGUCUAUGGUUAGGAAACAUAACCAUCUUUGAUUAAUGAGCUAGUCAAGUAGAGGCAUACUAGUGACAUUAAGUUUUGUCUAUGUACUCACACAUGUAUCAUGUUUCCGGCUAAUACAAUUCUAGCAUGAAUAAUAAAAAUUCAUCAUGAUAUAAGGAAAUAAAUAAUAACUUUAUUAUUGCCUCUAGGGCAUAUUUCCUUCAGUCUCCCACUUGCACUAGAAUCAAUAAUCUAGUUCACAUCGCCAUGUGAUUUAACACCAAUAUUCACAUCUGUAUGUGAUUAAUACCCAAUAGUUCACAUUGUCAUGUGAUCAACACCCAAAGGGUUUACUAGAGUCAAUAAUCUAGUUCACAAAUCUAUGUGAUUAACACCCAAAGAGUACUAAGGUAUGAUCAUGUUUUGCUUGUGAGAGAAGUUUAGUCAAUGGGUCUGUCACAUUCAGAGCCGUAUGCAUUUUGCAAAAAUUCUAUGUCUACAAUGCUCUGCACGGAGCUACUUUAGAUAAUUGCUCCCACUUUUAAUAUGUAUCCAGAUUAAGACUUAGAGUCAUCUGGAUCAAUGCCAAAACUUGUAUUGACGUAACCCUUUACGACGAACCUUUUUUCACCUCCACAAUCGAGAAACAUAUCCUUAUUCCACUAAGGAUAAAUUUGACCAAUGUCCAGUGAUCUACUCCUAGAUCACUAUUGUACUCCCUUGCCAAACCAGGACAGAGUAUACAAUAGGUCUGGUCCAUAGCAUGACAUACUUUUAUAGAACCUAUGACUGAUGCAUAGGGAAUGACUUUCAUUCACUUUCUAUUUUCUGCCGUGGUCCGGAUUUGAGUCUUACUCAAUUUCUUACCUUUGCAACAUAGGCUAGAACUCUUUCUUUGACUGUUCCACUUUGAACUAUUUCAAAAUCUUGUCAAGGUAUGUACUCAUUGAAAAUAUUAUCAAGCGUCUUGAUCUAUCUCAAUAGAUCUUGAUGCUCAAUAUGUAAGUAGCUUUACUGAGGUCUUUCUUUUAAAGAACUCCUUUCAAACACUUCUUUAUGCUUUCCAGAAUUUUUUUAUAUCAUUUCUGAUCAACAAUAUGUCACUCACAUAUACUUAUCAGAAAGGCUGUAGUGCUCCCACUCAUUUUAUUGUAAAUGCAUGCUUCACUGCAAGUCCAUAUAAAACUAUAUGCUUUGAUCAAAGCGUAUAUUCCAACUCCGAGAUGCUUGCACCAGUCCAUAGUUGGAUCGCUAGAGCUUGCACAAUUUGUUAGCACCUUUAGGAUUGACAAAACCUUCUGAUUGCAUCAUAUACAACUCUUCUUUAAUAAAUCCAUUAAAGAAUGCAGUUUUGACAUCCAUUUGCCAGAUUUCAUAAAAUGUGGCAAUUGCUAAUAUGAUUCGGACAGACUUAAGCAUCGAUACGAGUGAGAAAAUCUCAUCGUAUUCAACACCUUAAACUUGUCAAAAAACUUUUGCGACAAGUCGAGCUUUGUAGAUAGUAACACUACUAUCAGCGUCUGUCUUCCUCUUGAAGAUCCAUUUAUCUUCCAUGGCUUGCCGAUCAUCGGGCAAGUCCACCAAAGUCCACACUUUGUUCUCAUACAUGGAUCUCAUCUCAGAUUUUAUGGUCUCAACCCAUUUUGCGGAAUCUGGGAUCAUCAUCGCUUCCUCAUAGUUUGUAGGUUCAUCAUGGUAUAGUAACAUGACCUCCAUAAUAGGAUUACCGUACCACUCCGGUGCGGAUCUUACUCUGGAAGACCUACGAGGUUCUGUAGUAACUUAAUCUGAAGUUUCAUGAUCAUCAUCAUUAGCUUCCUCACUAACUGGUGUAGGAAUCACUGGAACUGAUUUCUGUGAUGAACUACUUUCCAAUUCGGGAGAAGGUACAAUUACCUUAUCAAGCUCUACUUUCCUCCCACUCACUUCUUUCGAGAGAAACCCCUUCUCUAGAAAGGAUCCAUCUUAGCAACGAAUAUUUUGCCUUCGGAUCUGUGAUAGAAGGUGUACCCAACAAUUUCCUUUGGGUAUUCUAUGAAGACGCACUUCUCUGAUUUGGGUUCGAGCUUAUCAGGUUGAAAUUUUUUCUCAUAAGCAUCGCAGCCCCAAACUUUAAGAAACGACAGCUUAGGUUUAUUGCUAAACCAUAGUUCAUACGGUGUCGUCUCAACGGAUUUAGAUGGUGCCCUAUUUUAACGUGAAUGCAGCUGUCUCUAAUGCAUAGCCCCAAAACAAUAUUGGUAAAUCGGUAAGAGACAUCAUAGAUCGCACCAUAUCCAAUAAAGUGCGGUUACGACGUUCGAACGCACCACUACGAUGUGGUGUUCCAGGUGGCAUGAAUUGUGAGACUAUUCCACAUUGUUUUUAUACGAAAGCCAAACUCGUAACUCAAAUAUUCUCCUCCACGAUCAGAUCGUAGAAACUUUAUUUUCUUGUUACGAUGAUUCUCCACAUCACUCUGAAAUUCUUUGAACUUUUCAAAUGUUUCAGACUUGUGUUUUAUUAAGUAGAUAUACUCAUAUCUUGCUCAAAUCAUCUUGUGAAGGUCUGAAAAUAACGAUACCCGCCACGAGCAUCAAUACUCAUUGGACCGCAUACAUCAGCAUGUAUUAUUUCCAAUAAGUCACUAGCUCGUUCCAUUGUUCCGGAGAACGGAGUUUUAGUCAUCUUGCCCAAAAGGCACGGUUCGCAAGCAUCAAAUGAUUCAUAACCAAGUGAUUCCAAAAAUCCAUCUUUAUGGAGUUUCUUCAUGCGCUUUACACCGAUAUGACCCAAACGGUAGUGCCACCAAUAAGUUGCACUAUCACUAUAAACUUUGCAUCUUUUUGGCAUCAAUAUUAUGAAUAUGUGUAUCACUACGAUCGAGAUCCAAUAAACUAUUUUCAUUGGGUGUAUGACCAUCGAAGGUUUUAUUCAUGUAAAUAGAACAACAAUUAUUCUCUGACUUUAAAUGAAUAACCAUAUUGCAAUAAACAUGAUCAAAUCAUAUUUAUGCUCAACGCAAAAGCCAAAUAACAUUUAUUUAGGUUUAACACUAAUCCCAAAAGUAUAGGGAGUGUGCGAUGAUGAUCAUAUCAAUCUUGGAACUACUUCCAACACUGAUCGUCACUUCACCCUCAACUAGUCUCUGUUUAUUCUGUAACUCUUGUUUCGAGUUACUAAUUUUUUAGCAACCGAACAAGUAUCAAAUACUCAGGGGCUACUAUAAACACUAGUAAGGUACACAUCAAUAACCCGUAUAUCAAAUAUACCCUUGUUCACUUUGCCAUCCUUCUUAUCCACCAAAUAUUCAGGGCAUUUGCGAUUCCAGUGACCAUUUCCUUUGCAGUGUAAGAACUCAGUUUCAGGCUUUGGUCCAGCCUUGGGCUUCUUCACGGGAGUGACAACUUGCUUGUCAUUCUACUUGAAGUUCCCUUUCUUUCCCUUUGCCCUUUCUUUGAAACUAGUGGUCUUGUUAAUCAUCAACACUUGAUGCUCUUUCUUGAUUUCUACCUUCGUCGAUUUCAGCAUCACGAAGAACUCGGGAAUCGUUUUCAUCAUCCCUUGCAUUAUAGUUCAUCACGAAGUUCCAGUAACUUGGUGAUGGUGACUAGAGAACUCUGCCAAUCACUAUCUUAUCUGGAAGAUUAACUCCCACUUGAUUCAAGCGAUUGUAGUACUCAGACAAUCUCAGUACUUGCUCACUAUUUGAGUAAUUCUCCUCCAUCUUUUAGGCGAAGUAUUUGUCAAAGGUCUCAUACCUCUUGACACGGGCAUGAGUCUGAAAUACCAAUUUCAUCUCUUGAAACAUAUUAUAUGUUCCAUGAUGUUUCAAAAACGUUUUUGUAGUCCCGGUUCUAAGACAUAAAGCAUGGUGCACAAAACUAUCAAGUAGUCAUCAUAUUGAGCUAGGCAAACGUUCAUAACGUCUGAAUCUGCUCCUGCAAUAGGUCUGUCACCUAGCGGUGCAUAAAGGACAUAAUUCUUCUGUGCAGCAAUGAGGAUAAACCUCAGAUCACGGACCAAGUCCGCAUCAUUGCUACUAACAUCUUUCAACUUAGUUUUCUCCAGGAACACAUAUAAAACAUAGGGAAGCAACAACGCGAGCUAUUGAUCUACAACAUAAUUUGCAAAAUACUACCAGGACUAAGUUCAUGAUAAAUUAAAGUUCAAUUAAUCAUAUUACUUAAGAACUCCCACUUAGACAGACAUCUCUCUAGUCAUCUACGUGAUCACGUAAUCCAAAUCAACUAAACCAUGUCCGAUCAUCACGUGAGAUGGAGUAGUUUUCAAUGGUGAACAUCACUAUGUUGAUCAUAUCUACUAUAUGAUUCACGUUCGACCUUUCGGUCUCCAUGUUCCGAGGCCAUAUCUGUAUAUGCUAGGCUCGUCAAGUUUAACCUGAGUAUUCCACAUGUGCAACUGUUUUGCACCCGUUGUAUUUGAACGUAGAGCCUAUCACACCCGAUCAUCACGUGGUGUCUCAGCACGAAGAACUUUCACAAUGGUGCAUACUCAGGGAGAACACUUCUUGAUAAUUAGUGAGAGAUCAUCUUAAAAUGCUACCGUCAAUCAAAGCAAGAUAAGAUGCAUAAAGGAUACACAUCACAUGAAUCAACAUAAGUGAUAUGAUAUGGCCAUCAUCAUCUUGUGUUUGUGGUCUCCAUCUCCGAAGCACCGUCGUGGUCACCAUUGUCACCGGAGCGACACCUUGAUCUCCAUCGUAGCAUCGUUGUUGUUUCGCCAUCUAUUGCUUCUACGACUAUCGCUACCGCUUAGUGAUAAAGUAAAGCAAUUACAGGGUGCUUGCAUUUCAUACAAUAAAGCGACAACCAUAUGGCUCCUGCCAGUUGCCGAUAACUCAGUUACAAAACAUGAUCAUUUCAUACAAUAAAAUAUAACAUCACGUCUUGACCAUAUCACAUCACAACAUGCCCUGCAAAAACAAGUUAGACGUCCUCUACUUUGUAGUUGCAAAUUUUACGUGGCUGCUACAGGCUAAGCAAGAACCGUUCUUACCUACGCAUAAAAACCACAACGAUAGUUCGUCAAGUUAGUGCUGUUUUAACCUUCACAAGGACCGGGCGUAGCCACACUCGGUUCAACUAAAGUUGGAGAAACUGACACCCGCCAGCCACCUGUAUGCAAAGCACGUCGGUAAAACCAGUCUCGCGUAAGUGUACGUGUAAUUUCGGUCCAGGCCGCUUCAUCCAACAAUAUCGCCGAACCAAAGUAUGACUUGCUGGUAAGCAGUAUGACUUGUAUCGCCCACAACUCACUUGUGUUCUACUCGCGCAUAUAACAUUUACGCAUAAAACCUGGCUCGGAUGCCACUAUUGGGGAACGUAGUAAUUUCAAAAAAUUUCCUACGCAUACGCAAGAUCAUGGUGAUGCGUAUCAACAAGAGGGGAGAGUGUUGUCUACGUACCCUCAUAGACCGAAAGCGGAAGCGUUAGAACAAUUUGGUUGAUGUAGUCGUACGUCUUCACGGCCCGAUCAAUCAAGCACCAAAACUACGGCACCUCCGAGUUCUAGCAUACGUUCAGCUCGAUGACAUCCUUCAAACUUCGAUCCAGCCAAGUGUCGAGGGAGAAUUCCGUUAGCACGACGGCGUGGUGACGAUCUUGAUGUUCUACCGUCGCAGGGCUUCUCCUAAGCACCGCUACAAUAUUAUCGAGGAGGACUAUGAUGGAGGGGGGGGGCACCGCACACGACUAAGAGAUCAAGAGAUCAAUUGUUGUGUCUAGAGGUGCCCCCUGCCCCCGUAUAUAAAGGAUCAAGGGGGAGGAGGCGGCCGGCCAGGAGGAGGCGCGCCAAGGGGGGAGUCCUACUCCCACCGGGAGUAGGACUCCUCCUUCCCUUGUUGGCGUAGGAGAGAAGGGAAGAGGGGGAGAGGAGGAAGGAAAAGGGGGCUGCACCCCUUGUCCAAUUCGGACCAGAGGGGGGCUGCGCGCCUCCUUCCUUUCGGCCUCUCUCCUCUAUUCCCGUAUGGCCCAGUAAGGCCCAUAUACUCCCACACGAAUUCACGUAACUCUCCGGUACUCCGAAAAAUACCCGAAUCACUCGGAACCUUUCUGAAGUCCGAAUAUAGUCAUCCAAUAUAUCGAUCUUUACGUGUCGACCAUUUCGAGACUCCUCGUCAUGUCCCCGAUCUCAUCUGGGACUCCGAACUCCUUCGGUACAUCAAAACUCAUAAACUCAUAAUAUAACUGUCAUUGAAACCUUAAGCGUGUGGACCCUACGGGUUCGAGAACUAUGUAGACAUGACCGAGACACGUUUCCGGUCAAUAACCAAUAGCGAAACCUGGAUGCUCAUAUUGGCUCCUACAUAUUCUACGAAGAUCUUUUAUCGGUCAAACCGCAUAACAAUAUACGUUGUUCCCUUUGUCAUCGGUAUGUUACUUGCCCGAGAUUUGAUCGUCGGUAUCCAAUACCUAUUUCAAUCUCGUUACUGGCAAGUCUCUUUACUCGUUCCGUAAUGCAUCAUUUCGUAACUAACUCAUUAGUUACAUUGCUUGCAAGGCUUAUAGUGAUGUGCAUUACCGAGAUGGCCCAGAGAUACCACUCCGACAAUCGAAGUGACAAAACCUAAUCUCGAAAUAUGCCAACUCAACAUGUAUCUUUGGAGACACCUGUAGAUCUCCUUUAUAAUCACCCAGUUAUGUUGUGAUGUUUGGUAGCACACAAAGUGUUCCUCUGGUAAACGGGAGUUGCAUAAUCUCAUAGUUGUAGGCACAUGUAUAAGUCAUGAAGAAAGUAUACGCCAACUCAACAUGUACCUUUGGAGACACCUGUAGAGCUCCUUUAUAAUCACCCAGUUACGUUGUGACGUUUGGUAGCACACAAAGUGUUCCUCCGGUAAACGGGAGUUGCAUAAUCUCAUAGUUGUAGGAACAUGUAUAAGUCAUGAAGAAAGCAGUAGCAACAUACUAAACGAUCAAGUGCUAAGCUAACGGAAUGGGUCAUGUCAAUCACAUCAUUCUCCUAAUGAUGUGAUCCCGUUAAUCAAAUGACAACUCAUGUCUAUCGUUAGGAAACAUAACCAUCUUUGAUUAAUGAGCUAGUCAAGUAGAGGCAUACUAGUGACAUUAAAUUUUGUCUAUGUAUUCACACAUGUAUCAUGUUUCCGGCUAAUACAAUUCUAGCAUGAAUAAUAAACAUUCAUCAUGAUAUAAGGAAAUAAAUAAUACCUUUAUUAUUGCCUCUAGGGCAUAUUUCCUUCAAUGUUAGCUAGCAUUACACAUCAAAAUUUUUGUUUUUAUCAUUUACCUAUUCGAGGAUGAGCAGGAAUUAAGCUUGAGGAUGUUGACAUGUCCAACAUAUCUAUAAUUUUUUAUUGUUUCAUGCUAUCAUAUGAUCAAUCUUGGAUGCUUUAUAUGUAUUUUAUACUAUUUUAUAUCUUUUUGGACUAACCUAUUAUUUUGAAAAAAAAUUGAAUUGUUUGGAUUGCUUACCACAUGUGUCACGUGGUUUGGGACUAACUUUUUAACCCAAUGCCUAGUGCUAGUUAAUGUUUUUUUUGCUUGUUUUUGGCUCUUCAGAAAAACAAUACCAAAUGAACUUCAAACAUGAUGAAACUUUACGGUAAUUUUUUCUGGACUAGAAGAGGCCCUAGAAGGUUCGGGAGGAGGCUAGAAGAUCUACGGAAGAGCCACGAGCUCACAGGGCACGCCCCCGAGCUCAUGGGCCCCACGCAGCUCCGUUUGACCUAAUUUCAACUCCAUAACUUCACAUAUAUUUCCAAACCAAUAGAGAGCCACCCGAAACACUUUUUUUCCACCGCAAGCUUCUGUUCUUCCGUGAUCCCAUCUGGAGGCCUUUUCCGGUACUCUGCCGGAGGAGGAAUCGAUCAUGGAGGGCUUCUAUAUCAUCCUUGCUGCCUUUCGAUGAUGCAUGCAUAGUUCAUGACAGACCUACGGGUCCAUAUCUAGUAGGUAGAUGGCUUCAUCUCUCUCUUUGAUCUUCAAUACAAUGUUCUCCUCGAUUUUCUUAGAGCUUUUUUAUCCUAUGUAAUCUUUUUUUGCGGUGCGUUUAUUGGGAUGCAGUGAAUUAUGGGUUUAUGAUCAAAUUAUUAACUGAAAGUAAUUGUGUCUUUUCUGAGCUUUAUUAUGCAUGAUUGUUAUAGCUUCGUAUUAUCCUCCGAUCAAUUCGUUUGGUUUCGCCAACUAGAUUGAUUUAUCUUCAGUGGGAGAGGUGCUUUGUAAUGGGUUCAAUCUUGCGGUGUCCUCAUAUAGUGACAGAAGGGGAAGCAAGGCACAUAUAGUAUCGUUGCCAUUAAGGAUAAAACGACGUGGUUUAAUCAUAUUUCUUGAGUUUACUUUGUCUAGAUCAUGUCAUCUUGCUUAAGGUGUUACUCUGUUUGCCAUGAACUUAAUACGAUAGAUGCAUGCUAAAUAGCGGUCGAUUGGUGGAGUAAUACUAGUAGAUGUAGGCAGGAGUCGAUCUACUUGUCACAGACAUGACUAUAUACAUGAUCAUUGCCAUGAAUAUGUCAUAACUAUGUGUUUUUCUAUCGGUUGUCUAACAGUAAUUUGUUUACCCACAAUAUGCUACGUGUUCGAGAGAGAAGCCUCUAAUGAAAACUAUGGCGCUAGGUCUACUUUUAUCAUAUUAUUAAAACUAAAAAUACCUUCAUGCAAUUUUAUACUUUUUUUACUUUUCUUUUUAUCUAUCUAUCACUAUCAGAAUUAAUCCUUGCAAAUAAUGAGUUCAAGGGGAAUGACAAGACUCUUGCCGCGUUGGGUGCAAGUAUUUGCUUUUGUGUGUGUAGGUGCUGAAAAAGGGAAUUUGCGUGGUUCUCCUAUUGGUUUGAUAACCUUGGUUCUCACUGACGGGAAUACUUAUCUCUAUUGUAUUGCUCCACCCAUCCUCUUGGGGGAAAUCCCAACGCAGUUUAGAAGUAGCACUACUCCUCCUUCCUCCUCCAUAGACGCUUGGCGAAGCCCUGCCACAGCUCCACCAUAAAAUCCACCACCACGCCAUCGUGUUGGCCUAGAUCUCAUCUACCUAUCCCUGUCGCUUGCUGGAUGAAGGAGACAUCACCGAGCCAUACGUGUGCAUAUCCCUGAGGUGUCAUUCGUGCGGUGCUGGAUCGGAUUGGAUCACGAAGAGUGUACGACUACGCCAAGCACAUUCAUUAGAACGUUUCUGUUUUAGGUCUAGAAGGGUUUGUAGACUUUUCCCCCUCGUUGCUAGCAUCUAGUUGAUUAGAUCUCGGAUGUUUUCAUUGUCUCGUAGGAAAAAAAUUGUUUUUCAUGCAUUGAUUCUCAUCACCGACCUGCUUCAAAAGAAGCAGGUAGGAGCCCAGGCGGCCCGAGCUCAGCAGGUUGCCGGGUGGGAGGUCCCUAACAGGUGCAUCCAAGAAUGCAACAACCUCCAAGUAGAGAAGGCGUCCCUAACCGAGAGGACGAGACAACAAGAGCUGGAGCUGGAAGAAGUUAAGUCUCGCCUGGUCGAUGCCGGGAGCGUCGCGGCGGGCCCUUGAGAUCAUAGCCAGUGAGUCUGUCCAUGCUUCAACUCAUAAACUAGGUGGAAAUUUUAUUUGCCGAUCUGACAUACAAAUUCAUUAUUUCCAGCAUCUUUUCCCGACCUGCCAGCCAAUGCUGUUGGAGCGUCCCUUAGGGAGAAACUGCAGCAGUUUGGAGAGUUAAACAAGAUUGCGAGGCCGGUAAUGGAGGGUAUUUUCUUGGCCCUAUGGCCUGGAAGAAAGGUUGUCGGAAAACCAGUUUGACCUCUGCCGCCGCCUCCAGGAGGGGCAUGCUCGGAUUGCCCUGUGAAAGGCGUUAGUGGCCUGAGAAGAUGCUCGUCAAGCGUGGGCCAUGCUCCAGACCCACUAUCCGGGCUUGAACAUCUGCCCUAUUGCCGUAGUUGGUCCAAAAGGACCUGACGGUAAGGAGAUUAUGCCCUAUGCUAGGAUGUCCGAGCAGGAUUGUCGUUUGAAAAGAUUAUUGAAUAGGCUAGGAGUGUUACCCUGGAUUGUCAAGGACGAAACGUUGAAUAAAAACUUCUCGAAUUUCGCUACCACCAUGUUUAUUUUUUUCUAUACCAACAACAUGAUAGGUUUGCUCCGACCUGUUAGCAUACGCUUGCAUUAACCGGCCUUUGGCUUCAACCUCAACAACCAAAUGUGGAGGCCUUAUAAUUGAUGUUAACGCAAUGAGUAGGGAUCACCAUGCAACUAGGAUGCAAACAUAUCUAUGAAUAUAUGAAAUAUCUCGCAAGGAUUAAGUGGGGGUGUGUCCAACUUGUUUGCUCAUGAAGACCUCAAGCAUUUGAUAAAGCUCAUCAUCGGGAUAUACAAGGAAAAUUAUACAAUAUAAAUUCCCCAAGCUAGUAUAAAACAUGAAGCUCAUGAAACUUUAAUUAGAUGUAAAUUGUCCAGACCAACAAAAGUUCUUUAGUAAGGGUCUCUGACGAGAAUUUAUUUCAUCGAAAGUGUCCUACUCAGCUUGAGCUCAUAUGAAUUUUUUUAUUGCCGUGAAAAAGAUGAAUGCCAUUCUAUGAUGAAACCUUGCAAGGAUUUAUAACAUUUGUCAAAUUAAGCCACACACAAAAAAUCAGAAAUUUUUGAAUUCUCUCUAAAUAUUUUCAGAUUUUAUUGCUCACCCGAGCUCAUAUGAGCUCGAGCUCAGUUAAUCCGUGUCCAUGUUUCAUCCUACUCUACUAGCAAAAACCAAUGGAGCAGACGGUAGUGACGUGGAAAAGAAACCAUAACAAAUUUUUAGUGAUAUAUAAUUAAAGAAACAGAAAUUUACAAUUGCAAAUUAGGGAAUCUUAAUGUCAAAUACUGAAUUCUUCCACCCACUAGCUGUGAGACAUAUCCAUUGCAGUGCCAAAUAAAGAAGCUUUUCCAUGAAUUAAUAACAACAAGACAAUGGUCCGCGUGUUGUAUAUAAUAAAUAGAGUCCUGCUUCGGUACAACCCCCCUCGCAAUAUGUAUAAAGGGUAAUAUGGACUUUUCACAAUCUGUAUCUACUUCUGUACGUAACAUAUACGCCAGGCAGCUUACUUGGGCCGGCCCAUUUGCGGUGGCAUGCGAUGAAAAAUAGCGAAAAAGGAUCACACAAACUGGGAAUCGAAACCGACGACCACUUCAAAAUUUAACUGCGUCCACAACCACUGCGAUAGCAUGCCUUUGUUGAAUGAUCUAAAGUUGGAAACAAUAAAUAAUUGACAGGCUGGGAAUUUUAAAAAGAUUUCAGUAACACUUUCUGAACUGGCGUUUUUUCCAUAAUUUCUUUCUAUUUAUUUUCCUUUUCCUGCUAUUCUUCUUUCUUUUUCAAAAAUGUUCGCGCUUUCAAAAUGUUGUUCCAAAUUUCAAACGGUUCAUUAUUUCCAAGUUUUGUUCAUAAACUAAAAAUAUUUGCAUUUUUGAAAAUUGUAUUGUAAUUUGAAAAAAUGUUUGUGACUUUGAAAAAAUGUUCAGAAUGUAAAAUGUGAAUAAUGUUUUGAAAACCACAAAUAAAAUUGUGAAAAUGAACAUUUUCUGAGAGCACGGACAAAAAAUUAAAUUCCAAAGCAUUUUUCAGAAAUGAGACUAAAUAAAUGAUCUCAUAAAAUUAUUCUAAAUUUACACGAUUAUUUUUUAAAAUUUGUCAGAAUAUUUUUGAAAAUGAGAACAUUUUCUAAAUUCCGAACAAAUUCCAGUAGUCGCCCGACAAGAGCGAUGCCGUUGCUUAGUUGGGCAAGGCCUAAAGUUUUUUCUUUUCUAUUUUUUCGUUUUAUUCUCUUUUUUGUUAAUUUAUCUUUUCACCUUUUUGAACUUUAUGGUUCUUUUUUUUAACCUGCUCAAAAAAUUGAAAUACCAAAAUAAUAGUUUUAAGGAACUAUUUUAAAUUAUGAUUUUAAUUCUUUUUUUGUUUCAAUAUUUCUUAAAUGCUUUUUAAAAAGCAUCUGUUGUUUUCAAUUCUAUUAUUUAGUAUUUAUUGAUUAUUUUAGAAAUUUAAAAUGACAGUUUGAAGUAUCUAUAUAAAUUAUGAUUUUAAAUGACCCCAACAUUUGCCAGCUGGUGGCAUGGCCAUGGUAGGCAUCCAUGCCCCAAUAUUCUUUCAUGGCCUCGUAUGACCAAUUCAAUGCACCAUGACAAGUUGUUUUGGUUUUCGACAAAUUUUGUAUUUUUCUAGAGUUUUCUCGAUAAGAAAAUGCAAAAAAAGGCCGGACGUGUUGCAACUUUCAUACUGUGUCAGAAAUUGUUCAAACCUGGCAUGGAUGCCUAUGAGGGGCAUGCCCAUCUGGUGGCAAAAGUUGGGGCCAUUUUAAGGAUGUACUCCCUCCGUCCGAAAAUACUUGUCAUCAAAAUGGAUAAUAAGGGAUGUACGUAGAACUAAAAUACAUGUAGAUACAUCUCCUUUUAUCCAUUUUGAUGACAAGUAUUUUCGGACGGAGGAAGUAUAAAUAGACCAUGUUGAACAAACUGUGUUCUCGGGCAGAAGGAUUCGUCUGAGAGCAUGUUAGUUCUCGACAUCCUUGAAAUUAAUCCAAUUUUUUUCAAGGGCCUCGUAUGACCAAUUCAAGGCAUCAUGGAAAGUUGUUUGGGUUUUCAACAAGUUUUGCAUUUCCUGGAGUUUCUUGGUGAAAAAGUAACAAUUAAUGAUAGAACAUGUCGCAACGUGCAUACGGUGUCGGAAGUCAUUCAGACCAAGUAUGGAUGCCUAACAUGGGCAUGCCCACUUGCUUGCAAAAGUUGGGGGUAGUCCUGAUAUUUCCAAAGAAAUACCAUGUUGGAUGGAGAGUGUUCGAAUAGGCUAGAAGGAUCUGUUUGCGAGCUCCAUUUCUCAUGGCCUUGUAUAACCAAUUCAAGGCACCACACCAAAUUGUUUUGGUUUUGUCCAAUUUUGCGUUUUCUGAAGUUUUUGUGGUUAAGAAGGCCGAUAAAUGACCGGAUGUGUCAACACUUGAAUAUGGUGUAGAAAAACGUCCAAACUAGGCAUGUGCCUACCAUGGGCAUGCCUACCUUCUUGCAAAAGUGGGGUUCAUUUUAAAGAUGUUCAAAAAUAGACUAUGUUCAACGGAGAGUGUUCGAAUAGUGCAGAAGGGUCCGUUUGAAAGCUCGUUGUUUACUGACAUCUGUCAAAUAACCCCAAAUAUUUUUCAUGAGCUUCUAUGACCAAUUCAAGGCACAAUGCCAAUUUGUUUAGAUUUUUGAAAAGUUUUGUAUUUUCUAGAGUUUUCUCAUUGAAAGUAGGCCGAUAAAUGGUCGGACGUGUCACAACAUGUAAAGGGUGUCGGAAGUCAUUCAAACCUGGCGUGGAUGCCUCAUAUGUCCAAGCCAGGCUCUUGCAAGAAGGUGGGAUCAUUUAUCAAUAGCCUAAAAUAUACCAGUUAGAUGAGUUUAUUUCUAAUUCCCUUCAUUAUCACUCAACAUAAACAUUUUAUUUUUUCCUAACAAUUUCUUGAAAUUUCUCAACAAUUUUGGAACUUCAAAGUGUGUAUGAAAAAUUUACUAACUUGAACACUUUUUUCCAAAAUUGUUAACAAAUUACGAAAGAAUGAUGAAAAUUUCGAACAAAAAAGCAAACCGCGUACUUCUUAAAAAAAUUGUCAACUUUUUUGAAACACAUACAUUUCUUAAAUUUGUGAACAACAAAAUUCGAAAACUAGAACAUUUUAUGAAAUUCCAGAAUAUUUUUUAUAAUUUAAACAAUAUUUGAAAACAAAAUCAUUUUAUGUUAUGCCAAACAUUUUUUCCAAAAUUUGAACAAGUUUCACAAAGAUUAAUAAAGUUCAAAAGUAGAAAAAUGAAUUAACAAAAAGAGAAAAAAAAAGAAACUAACUGCAAUGAAAAAAAUGCUUAGGCCCUAGAAAAUAAGAAUGUUUCCGGAAAAUUUAAGUAUAUUUGGAAAAAUAUUCGUAAAUUUUAAAAAUUGUUUGUGUUUUUGAAUAAUGCUCGCCAAUUUGAAAAAGUUUUGCAUUUUAAAAAAAUGUUCAGAUAUUUCAAAAUUGUUUAUGUUUUCAAGAAAAUGGUCACAAAUGUGAUAAAUUAUUCAUCUUUUCAAAAAAAUCUGCAGUUUCAGAUAUAUGUUUACAAUACUGAAAAACUGUUCUUAAACUUUCAAAAAUAUUCACAAAAUCAAAGUAUUUUUCAUAAAAAAGGGUUCGGGAAUUUGAAAAAAAUGCGUUUCCAAAAGAAGUCCAAAUUUUGAAAAAUGUUUCGUAUUUUUAAAAAUAUUCCAAUAGAUGAAAAAACACAUUAGGUUUUUUAGCUAUAAAAAAUGCUUUAGCUAGAAUGUCCUGCCCAGUUGUGUUUUCCAAAAGAAGUCCGUGCACCAAUUUUGAUCUGCUAGAGUAUUUCUAGUAAAAAAAAAGCUCCUACAGUACGUCUGUUCUAGGUAAUAAACAACUACACUUCAAAAAUAUCAGCAAAUCCAGAUGGUUCUGGUGGCUAUUAGCAGUUUCCCAACCGCUGGAGGUCCUGUGUUCGAUGCCCAAUAGGCACACUAUGUUUUGGAUUUUUGAUCGGUGCUACCGCACAUACUCUCUCUAAUGGGCCGGCCCAAAAUAGACUCAGAACAUGACAGAUCUUCGCGACGUAUUUUCUUGAAAGACCAUCCUACUCUUUAUUAUGAAAAGGUAUAGACAGAUCUCGUCCAUUGAUGUAUUCGGGGGUUGUGCCGAAGAAGAAGAUAUAGACCUAUGAGGAAUUACGUAUGCAUGCUCAAGAACCUAUGUUCGUACAUACAUACACAAAAUCAUAUAGAACAAAAGGUAUGCUCCGGUCAGAAAGCAGAGUCGUACAGCAGAGUUUUGGACAAAAGUGAAGUUCACAAAAGACCUUCAUACGAGAUAGGCCAUUGUUUCAACUCGUAGUUUAGGCCUUGCCGGACUCCUCGCAACCCGGUGGCCUAAAGGCGAUGAAGCUGACGCACUGCACCUGGCGCAGGUUGUCGAAGCCGAUGACACGGACAUAGGCGUCAGGGUACUCCUUCUUGACCUCCUCCACCUCGUUCAGCACCUGUGUGGCGUCAGUGCACCCGAACAUAGGCAGCUUCCACAUUGUCCAGUAUCGGCCGUCGUAGUACCCGGGGGAGCUGUUGUGCUCACGGAAGACGAAGCCAACCUUGCUGAACUCGAGGCAGGGCACCCACUUUGAGCGGAUCAGGUAGUCGACCUGUUUCAGGAGGGCCUCCGUGGAUAGGGGUGGCAGGUAAGACAGGGUCUCGAACUUCUUGAUGCCCUCAAUUGGCCACACCUAAAUGAAUAGAAUGCGCACAGAUGCUCAAUACUUGGUGAUAAGUCAAUUAAUUGUACUAAACUACGCUAGAAAAAAUCAGUCGACAAGCCAAAAAUUGCUCCUUAUGGGCAGCUCUCAUAUGCAUUGCUGGGUUGUUCACAAUCAAUAAAGCUUUGGUUGUACUUAGUGCUAGUAUAUGGGUCCUAUUUCGAGGAUGGGUUUGGUUAUAUACAUUGGGGAUGUUCUGCAAGUGAAUUACUUGCACUGACAAAGAAACUCAUAUCUGUUUAAUUAGUGCCCGACAUACCUGCAUGCACCUGAUCCUUCCGCCAUUGCUGACGCUGCUGAG
RNAcentral lists this long non-coding RNA (24636 nucleotides) under Triticum aestivum (bread wheat). RNAcentral describes it as "long non-coding RNA (TAES_LNC021807)". The stretch from base 21378 to 21512 matches the Rfam family "MIR1120/MIR1122 microRNA precursor family". Lineage: Eukaryota; Viridiplantae; Streptophyta; Magnoliopsida; Poales; Poaceae. The record is from RNAcentral.